Molecule: ribosomal RNA, 376 nt
Filed under: uncultured Fusibacter sp.
Lineage: Bacteria; Bacillati; Bacillota; Clostridia; Eubacteriales; Fusibacteraceae
Description: bacterial SSU rRNA
Rfam family: Bacterial small subunit ribosomal RNA
Source: RNAcentral
GAUUUUGCCUUCGGGUACGAAUUGAGACAGGUGGUGCGAUGGUUGUCGUCAGCUCGUGUCGUGAGAUGUUGGGUUAAGUACCCGCAACGAGCGCAACCCUUGUGUUAGUUGCAAACAGGUCAAGCUGUGCACUCUAGACAGACUGCCGUGGACAACACGGAGGAAGGUGGGGAUGACGUCAAAUCAUCAUGCCCCUUAUGAUCUGGGCUACACACGUGCUACAAUGGCCGGUACAACGGGCAGCGAAGGAGCGAUCCGGAGCGAAUCCUAAAAAGCCGGUCCCAGUUCGGAUUGCAGGCUGAAACUCGCCUACAUGAAGUUGGAGUUGCUAGUAAUCGCGAAUCAGAAUGUCGCGGUGAAUGCGUUCCCGGGUCUU